GCAUAAUCACUAGUUUUUUAAUUGGAAGCUUGGAUGAAGGGUUGGACGAGAAGUUAGCUGUCUUUAUUAAAGGAGUAGAAUUUAACUUUUAAGUGAGAGGGCUUAAAUAUUUUAAAGGGACGAUAAGACCCUAUAAAAUUUAACGAUUGAAAUUAUACAAAGAGUAGGAUAAUGUUAAAAGUUGUUGUUAAAAAUUAUAUUGUUUUGUUGGGGCGAUAGGAAUAAAAGAUAGAUUAACUGUUCUUUAGUUGGAUUUCAAUAGUAUUUGCAGUUUUUGAUCCUUACUAGAGAUUAGAAGAGAAAAUUACUUUAGGGAUAACAGCGUAAUUUUUUUUGAGAGUUCUUAUCGACAAAAAAGUUUGCGACCUCGAUGUUGAAUUAA
Molecule: ribosomal RNA, 382 nt
Filed under: Engaewa sp. clade A
Lineage: Eukaryota; Metazoa; Arthropoda; Malacostraca; Decapoda; Parastacidae
Description: partial 16S large subunit ribosomal RNA
Source: RNAcentral